RNAcentral lists this ribosomal RNA (482 nucleotides) under uncultured Glomus. RNAcentral describes it as "SSU rRNA". It matches the Rfam family "Eukaryotic small subunit ribosomal RNA", at positions 569 to 1055 of the family's 1831-position model. The record is from RNAcentral. Lineage: Eukaryota; Fungi; Glomeromycota; Glomeromycetes; Glomerales; Glomeraceae.
AGCAGCCGCGGUAAUUCCAGCUCCAAUAGCGUAUAUUAAAGUUGUUGCAGUUAAAAAGCUCGUAGUUGAAUUUCGGGACCAAUCUGCCGGUCGUGCCUCCGGUACGCACUGGUUUUAUUGGUUUCUCCCUUCUGACGAACCAUGAUGUCAUUAAUUUGGUGUCAUGGGGAAUCAGGACUGUUACUUUGAAAAAAUUAGAGUGUUUAUAGCAGGCUCACGCUUGAACACAUUAGCAUGGAAUAAUGAAAUAGGACGUUUGACCCUAUUUUGUUGGUUUCUAGGAUCGACGUAAUGAUUAAUAGGGAUAGUUGGGGGCAUUAGUAUUCAAUUGUCAGAGGUGAAAUUCUUGGAUUUAUUGAAGAUCAACUACUGCGAAAGCAUUUGCCAAGGAUGUUUUCAUUAAUCAAGAACGAAAGUUAGGGGAUCGAAGACGAUCAGAUACCGUCGUAGUCUUAACCAUAAACUAUGCCGACUAGGGGAUC